This is a long non-coding RNA of Aedes albopictus (Asian tiger mosquito), 1040 nucleotides long. RefSeq lists it as uncharacterized. Lineage: Eukaryota; Metazoa; Arthropoda; Insecta; Diptera; Culicidae. The transcript has 3 exons. The record is from RefSeq and is a predicted model, not a curated record.
UCGGGUCUCAUUCCUAAAAAGGCUACCCUCUAGUUUAGUAGUGCGCGCCGUUCUGAGUUUCCAUAAGCAUUUGAAGAUUGUCCGUAAGCGACUGAUCCUAAAGAAAACGUGUUAAUUUGUGUUAUUAGAAGAAAAGGUCCGUGAGUGUUUCCGGACCUUUUCUUUAUUCUAUGGUGGCCUCGGGUGAUUCCCGAAGAGUCUCGUUUACUUCCCAGGAUCGAAACACUGGACAGAAACCUGCGGCACGACCCUCGUGUAGAGCUAGAGCCCUAGUACGCACCGGGAUCGCCAUUGCUGCCUCCGCCAUCUUGUAGACCGCGCAAUCGGCCGCGUGGUCACUCAGCCGACGCCCGUCAGAGUCGAUCGCCGGGAUCGUCCCCAAAACCAGGAACGCGAAUCCUCCCCACCGCUGGUAGGCCUUAGCCACUCCAGUGGGACCCCAGAGUGUCAUCGGUCCAGUGGGAGUACUGACGGAAAAGCUCCUUCCCAGCUUCCCAAGAGUAUCACCGAAAUACCUGGACCCUGGUGACGGUAACCCACGAUCAACCGUAACUUCGCUGGUGGGCCGUAGCCUGUCCAGAGAGUCGGUCCUCCUCCCCAGCUUUUGUGUGGGCCGCCUGGCCUGAUUCAAGCUAAAUCUUCAUCGCCGCCUCCGUCAUCGUGUGUGCCGAUCGAAGGACUUCCGCCACCACCCGCGCUGAAGCCCGACCAAGCCGUCGUGCCGUGAAGAAGCGUUCUACCAAGCCAUUUCACCCCGGUUUGCCCGUUGGAGGUGCCAAGCUUUCCCAACAACCCGUACGCCUACUGGUGGACCCUAGCCUAUCCGGUUGAGUACCUGCCAUUCAACAACGAUCUUUGGACAGCCAUCUCGGGGCGGAAGUGCUCGCCCGUCGUUAGUAGCAACCUCUCCGGUGCCCGCCUGGCCCCCCUUCGAAGAUGCCAUCCACAAAGCUAGCCAACGUAGACCGUCGCCGCCAACCAUCGCGCCACCAACAACCGCCAAUGUAAUACGCAAGUAUACCACCUCUCUAUCUCUCUCU